Molecule: microRNA precursor, 87 nt
Filed under: Phlebotomus papatasi
Lineage: Eukaryota; Metazoa; Arthropoda; Insecta; Diptera; Psychodidae
Description: microRNA mir-263
Source: RNAcentral
CAGAGGAUUUCUCCUGGUUCCUCCAGGAAAUCACAGAAAAUCUCAGAAGAUCUGUGAUUUCCUGGAGGAACCAGGAGAAAUCUUCUG